Molecule: long non-coding RNA, 518 nt
Organism: Passer domesticus (house sparrow)
Lineage: Eukaryota; Metazoa; Chordata; Aves; Passeriformes; Passeridae
Exons: 3
Source: RefSeq, a predicted model, not a curated record
GUCACAGACAGUUGUGGUUACAGCCUACAUCCCCCUGCUCAUGAUCUUUCACUUCUGCUCACCCAGACAAUCAAAACCGAUUAUGGAAUGACUUAUGAAACUUCAAAUAAAAGAACUGAGUUCCCAACCUCUACAAGCUUCCUGCGCAUGAGUGGGCUCCUCCAGGCUGAAAAGUGAGUUGUUGAAGAGACACAGAACUCUUGUUCCCCCGUGUGCUGUUAUUGCCACAUCUGCGUGUUUGUUACUGCCUCAGCAGCUGUCCCCUCACUGCAUGGAUGGAAAUGAGGUGGCCCAACGGCAUGCUUCAGCAAGGAACAAGGAACACACACUCCAUCAUGUGAUAGAUUCCUGUUGUGUCCAUGCUAUGCACAAACAUAAAGCUGUGGGCUCCCUGAGAGGCACUUUCUUCCUUCUAGGUCAGCCAGUUUAAAUUGGAGCCUGUAGCAAGAGAUCUAUUUCUCACCAAACAAACUUCUCUACAGGAAAGUUCAUGUCUUUAAAUAUAUUUUUGAACAAAA